This 498-nucleotide ribosomal RNA is filed under the name uncultured bacterium. Its description in RNAcentral is "partial 16S ribosomal RNA". It matches the Rfam family "Bacterial small subunit ribosomal RNA", at positions 30 to 523 of the family's 1533-position model. The record is from RNAcentral.
AUUGAACGCUGGCGGCAUGCCUUACACAUGCAAGUCGAACGGUAACAGGUCUUCGGAUGCUGACGAGUGGCGAACGGGUGAGUAAUACAUCGGAACGUGCCCAGACGUGGGGGAUAACGAGGCGAAAGCUUUGCUAAUACCGCAUACGAUCUCAGGAUGAAAGCAGGGGACCGCAAGGCCUUGCGCGUUUGGAGCGGCCGAUGGCAGAUUAGGUCGUUGGUGGGAUAAAAGCUUACCAAGCCGACGAUCUGUAGCUGGUCUGAGAGGACGACCAGCCACACUGGGACUGAGACACGGCCCAGACUCCUACGGGAGGCAGCAGUGGGGAAUUUUGGACAAUGGGCGAAAGCCUGAUCCAGCAAUGCCGCGUGCAGGACGAAGGCCUUCGGGUUGUAAACUGCUUUUGUACGGAACGAAAAGGCUCUGGCUAAUACCUGGGGCACAUGACGGUACCGUAAGAAUAAGCACCGGCUAACUACGUGCCAGCCGCCGCCGUAA